AACGAACGCUGGCGGCAUGCCUAACACAUGCAAGUCGAACGAGACCUUCGGGUCUAGUGGCGCACGGGUGCGUAACGCGUGGGAACCUGCCCUUAGGUUUGGAAUAACUCCCCGAAAGGGGUGCUAAUACCAGAUAAUGUCUUCGGACCAAAGAUUUAUCGCCUUUGGAUGGGCCCGCGUUGGAUUAGCUAGUUGGUAGGGUAAAAGCCUACCAAGGCGACGAUCCAUAGCUGGUCUGAGAGGAUGAUCAGCCACACUGGGACUGAGACACGGCCCAGACUCCUACGGGAGGCAGCAGUGGGGAAUAUUGGACAAUGGGCGAAAGCCUGAUCCAGCAAUGCCGCGUGAGUGAUGAAGGCCUUAGGGUUGUAAAGCUCUUUUACCCGGGAUGAUAAUGACAGUACCGGGAGAAUAAGCGCCGGCUAACUCCGUG
RNAcentral lists this ribosomal RNA (433 nucleotides) under uncultured bacterium. RNAcentral's name for it is "partial 16S ribosomal RNA". It matches the Rfam family "Bacterial small subunit ribosomal RNA", at positions 29 to 507 of the family's 1533-position model. The record is from RNAcentral.